GAUGAAGAACGUAGCGAAAUGCGAUAAGUAAUGUGAAUUGCAGAAUUCAGUGAAUCAUCGAAUCUUUGAACGCACAUUGCGCCCCUUGGUAUUCCGAGGGGCAUGCCUGUUCGAGCGUCAUUAUAACCCCUCAAGCUCAGCUUGGUGUUGGGGCCUGCUGCACUGGCAGCCCUUAAAAUCAGUGGCGGCGCCAUCUGGCUCUAAGCGUAGUAAUUCUUCUCGCUAUGGAGUCCUGGUGGAUGCUUGCCAUCAACCCCCAACUUUCUAUGGUUGACCUCGGAUCAGGUAGGGAUACCCGCUGAACUUAAGCAUAUCAAUAAGCGGAGGA
This 328-nucleotide unclassified non-coding RNA is filed under the name soil metagenome. Its description in RNAcentral is "partial contains 5.8S ribosomal RNA, internal transcribed spacer 2, and large subunit ribosomal RNA". The stretch from base 1 to 120 matches the Rfam family "5.8S ribosomal RNA", at positions 35 to 154 of the family's 154-position model. The record is from RNAcentral.